RNAcentral lists this ribosomal RNA (272 nucleotides) under uncultured bacterium. RNAcentral's name for it is "partial 16S ribosomal RNA". It matches the Rfam family "Bacterial small subunit ribosomal RNA", at positions 793 to 1055 of the family's 1533-position model. The record is from RNAcentral.
GUCCACGCUGUAAACGAUGAUCACUAGACGUUGGUUCUGUUCUACAGAAUCAGUGUCGCAGCUAACGCGGUAAGUGAUCCGCCUGGAGACUACGGUCGCAAGAUUAAAACUCAAAGGAAUUGACGGGGGCCCGCACAAGCGGUGGAACAUGUGGUUUAAUUCGACACUACGCGAGGAACCUUACCUAGGUUUGACAUGUUUUUGACAGUCGUAGAAAUACGAUCUUUCCGGCUUCGGUCGGGACAAUUACACAGGUGCUGCAUGGCUGUCGU